GACGAACGCUGGCGGCGUGCUUAACACAUGCAAGUCGAACGAAGAGCGACGGAAGCUUGCUUCUAUCAAUCUUAGUGGCGAACGGGUGAGUAACGCGUAAUCAACCUGCCCUUCAGAGGGGGACAACAGUUGGAAACGACUGCUAAUACCGCAUACGAUCUAACCUCGGCAUCGAGGAUAGAUGAAAGGUGGCCUCUACAUGUAAGCUAUCACUGAAGGAGGGGAUUGCGUCUGAUUAGCUAGGUGGAGGGGUAAGGGCCCACCAAGGCGAUGGUCAGUAGCAGGUCGGAGAGGAUGAACGGCCACAUUGGGACUGAGACACGGCCCAGACUCCUACGGGAGGCAGCAGUGGGGAAUCUUCCGCAAUGGACGAAAGUCUGACGGAGCAACGCCGAGUGAGUGAUGACGGCCGUCGGGUUGGAAAGCUCUGUUAAUCGGGACGAAAGGCCUUCUUGCGAAUAGUGAGAAGGAUUGACGGUACCGGAAGAGAAAGCCACGGCUAACUACGUG
RNAcentral lists this ribosomal RNA (510 nucleotides) under uncultured bacterium. RNAcentral's name for it is "partial 16S ribosomal RNA". It matches the Rfam family "Bacterial small subunit ribosomal RNA", at positions 28 to 507 of the family's 1533-position model. The record is from RNAcentral.